This 607-nucleotide ribosomal RNA is filed under the name uncultured bacterium. Its description in RNAcentral is "bacterial SSU rRNA". It matches the Rfam family "Bacterial small subunit ribosomal RNA", at positions 272 to 882 of the family's 1533-position model. The record is from RNAcentral.
GGCGACGAUCAGUAGGGGUUCUGAGAGGAAGGUCCCCCACAUUGGAACUGAGACACGGUCCAAACUCCUACGGGAGGCAGCAGUGAGGAAUAUUGGUCAAUGGGCGAGAGCCUGAACCAGCCAAGUAGCGUGCAGGAUGACGGCCCUAUGGGUUGUAAACUGCUUUUAUAGGGGAAUAAAGUGAGCCACGUGUGGUUUUUUGCAUGUACCCUAUGAAUAAGGACCGGCUAAUUCCGUGCCAGCAGCCGCGGUAAUACGGAAGGUCCGGGCGUUAUCCGGAUUUAUUGGGUUUAAAGGGAGCGUAGGCCGGAGAUUAAGCGUGUUGUGAAAUGUAGAUGCUCAACAUCUGCACUGCAGCGCGAACUGGUUUCCUUGAGUACGCAUAAAGUGGGCGGAAUUCGUGGUGUAGCGGUGAAAUGUCUUAGAUAUCACGAAGAACUCCGAUUGCGAAGGCAGCUCACUGGGGCGCAACUGACGCUGAAGCUCGAAAGCGCGGGUAUCGAACAGGAUUAGAUACCCGGUAGUCCGCGCGGUAAACGAUGGAUGCCCGCUGUUGGUCCAAGGUCAGCGGCCAAGCGAAAGCAUUAAGCAUCCCACCUGGGGAGUA